RNAcentral lists this ribosomal RNA (468 nucleotides) under uncultured bacterium. Its description in RNAcentral is "partial 16S ribosomal RNA". It matches the Rfam family "Bacterial small subunit ribosomal RNA", at positions 28 to 507 of the family's 1533-position model. The record is from RNAcentral.
GACGAACGCUGGCGGCGUGCUUAACACAUGCAAGUCGAACGGAAAGGCACUGCUUUUGUGGGGUGCUCGAGUGGCGAACGGGUGAGUAACACGUGAGUAACCGGCCCUAGACUUUGGGAUAACUUCAGGAAACUGGGGCUAAUACCGGAUAGCAGCUCCUGCUGGAGGGUGGGGGGUGGAAAGUUGCGGCGGGUGGGGAUGGACGCGCGGCUUAUCAGCUUGUUGGUGGGGGAGUGGCUUACCAAGGCUUUGGCGGGUAGCCGGCCUGAGAGGGUGACCGGGCACAUUGGGACUGCGGGACGGACCAGAGUGCUACGGGAGGCAGCAGUGGGGAAUAUUGUCCAAUGGGCGGACGUCUGAUGAAGCAGCGCCGCGUGCGGGAUGACGGUCUUCGGGUUGUAAACCGCUUUAGCCUGUUACCAAGCGUGAGUGACGGUAAUGGGUGAAGAAGCACCGGCUAACUACGUG